Long non-coding RNA from Taeniopygia guttata (zebra finch), 1383 nucleotides. The record is from Ensembl. NCBI's taxonomy places the organism in Eukaryota, Metazoa, Chordata, Aves, Passeriformes, Estrildidae.
AUGAACAUCAGUCCCGUUCUUGCUCUUCCUUUUCCGGCUGCUCCUCUUCCUCUGUCCUUCCUCUUCUUUCUGCUUCCUCCUCCUCUUCCUCCUCUUCCUCCUCUUCUUCGUCCUCCUCCACCUCCUCUUCCUCUUCCUCCCCUCCUCUUCUUCCUCCUCCUCCUCUUCCUCUUCCUCCCCCUCCUCUUCCUCCCCCUCUUCCUCCUCCUCCCCUCUUCUUCCUCCUCCUCUUCCUCUUCUUCUUCCUCCUCCACCUUCUCCUCCUCUUCCCCGUCUUCCUCCCCCUCCUCUUCCUCCCCCUCUUCCUCCUCCUCCCCUCUUCUUCCUCCUCCUCUUCCUCUUCGUCCUCCUCGUUCUCUUCCUCCUCUUCCUCCCUUCCUCUUCCUCCCCCUCUACUUCCUCCUCCUCCUCCCCCUCUUCCUGUUCCUCUUCCUCUUCUUCCUCCUCUUCCUCCUUCUCUUCUUCUUCCUCCCCUCCUCUUCCUCCUCCUCCUCCUCUUCCUUCUCUUCUUCUCCUCGUCUUCUUCCUCUUCUUCCUCCUCUUCCUCCCCCUCCUCUUCUUCCUCCUCCUCUUCCUCUUGUUCUUCCUCCUCCUCCUCCUCCUCUUCCCCAUCUUCCUCCCCCUCUUCUUCCUCCCCCUCUUCUUCCUCCUCUUCCUCCUCUUCUUCCUCCUCUUCCUCCUCCUCCCCUCUUUCUCCUCCUCUUCCUCUUCCUCUUCUUCUUCCUCCUCUUCCUCCUCUUCUUCCUCCUCUUCUUCCUCCUCGUCCUCUUCCUCCUCUUUCUCCCCCUCUUCUUCCUCCUCCUCUUUUUCCUCCCCCUCCUCCUCUUCCUCCUCCUCUUCCUUCUCUUCUUCUCCUCGUCCUCUUCCUCUUCUUCCUCCUCUUCCUCCUCCUCCUCUUCCUCCUCUUUCUCCCCCUCCUCUUCCUCUUCUUCCUCCCCCUCUUUUUCUCCUCCUUUUCUACUCCUCGUCCUCUUCCUCCUCGUCCUCUUCCUCCUCUUCCUCCUCCUCUUUUUCCUUCUCCUCUUUCUCUGUCCUUCCUCUUCUUUCUGCUUCCUCCUCCUCUUCCUCCCCUUCUCCUCUUCCUCCUCCUCCUCCUCCUCUUCCUCCUCCUCUUCUUCCUCCUCUUUCUCCCCCUCCUCUUCCUCCUCUUCCUCUUCUUCCUCUUCUUCCUCCUCCUCUUUUUCCUUGUCCUCUUCCUCUUCUUUCUCCUCCUCCUCUUCCCCGUCUUCCUCCCCUCCUCUUCCUCCCCUCCUCCUCUUCCUCCUCCUCCUCCUCCUCCCCCCCUCCAUUCCCGGAUCCCGGAUCUGCCCAGCAACCGCUGACUCAUCAGCGCUGCGCGAUCUGAUUGGCCGAUUUCACCCGCGCCCCUCUGUGAUUGGCUGA